UACGGAGGAUGCAAGCGUUAUCCGGAUUCAUUGGGUUUAAAGGGUGCGUAGGCGGACUAUUAAGUCAGUGGCGAAAGCCUGCAGCUUAACUGCAGAACUGCCAUUGAUACUGAUAGUCUUGAGUUUGGUUAAGGUAGGCGGAAUGUGUAAUGUAGCGGUGAAAUGCUUAGAUAUUACACAGAACACCAAUUGCGUAGGCAGCUUACUGAGCCGACACUGACGCUGAGGCACGAAAGCGUGGGGAUCGAACAGGA
This 254-nucleotide ribosomal RNA is filed under the name uncultured prokaryote. RNAcentral's name for it is "partial 16S ribosomal RNA". It matches the Rfam family "Bacterial small subunit ribosomal RNA", at positions 524 to 777 of the family's 1533-position model. The record is from RNAcentral.